AGCCAUGCCGCGUGUAUGAAGAAGGCCUUCGGGUUGUAAAGUACUUUCAGCGAGGAGGAAGGCGUUGUGGUUAAUAACCGCAGCGAUUGACGUUACUCGCAGAAGAAGCACCGGCUAACUCCGUGCCAGCAGCCGCGGUAAUACGGAGGGUGCAAGCGUUAAUCGGAAUUACUGGGCGUAAAGCGCACGCAGGCGGUCUGUCAAGUCGGAUGUGAAAUCCCCGGGCUCAACCUGGGAACUGCAUCCGAAACUGGCAGGCUAGAGUCUUGUAGAGGGGGGUAGAAUUCCAGGUGUAGCGGUGAAAUGCGUAGAGAUCUGGAGGAAUACCGGUGGCGAAGGCGGCCCCCUGGACAAAGACUGACGCUCAGGUGCGAAAGCGUGGGGAGCAAACAGGAU
RNAcentral lists this ribosomal RNA (396 nucleotides) under Citrobacter freundii. RNAcentral's name for it is "bacterial SSU rRNA". It matches the Rfam family "Bacterial small subunit ribosomal RNA", at positions 390 to 778 of the family's 1533-position model. Lineage: Bacteria; Pseudomonadati; Pseudomonadota; Gammaproteobacteria; Enterobacterales; Enterobacteriaceae. The record is from RNAcentral.